Molecule: ribosomal RNA, 468 nt
Filed under: uncultured bacterium
Lineage: Bacteria
Description: partial 16S ribosomal RNA
Rfam family: Bacterial small subunit ribosomal RNA
Source: RNAcentral
GACGAACGCUGGCGGCGUGCUUAACACAUGCAAGUCGAACGGAAAGGCCCUGCUUUUGUCGGGUGCUCGAGUGGCGCACGGGUGAGUAACACGUGAGUAACCUGCCCUUGACUUUGGGAUAACUUCAGGAAACUGGGGCUAAUACCGGAUAGGAGCUCCUGCUGCAUGGUGGGGGUUGGAAAGUUUCGGCGGUUGGGGAUGGACUUGCGGCUUAUCAGCUUGUUGGUGGGGUAGUUGCUUACCAAGGCUUUGAAGGGUAGCCGGCCUGAGAGGGUGACCGGCGACAUUGGGACUGAGGUACGGACCAGAGUCCUACGGGAGGCAGCAGUGGGGAAUAUUGCACAAUGGGCGGAAGCCUGAUGCAGCAACGCCGCGUGCGGGAUGACGGCCUUCGGGUUGUAAACCGCUUUCGCCUGUGACGAAGCGUGAGUGACGGUAAUGGGUAAAGAAGCACCGGCUAACUACGUG